This 1124-nucleotide long non-coding RNA is filed under the name Dromaius novaehollandiae (emu). RNAcentral's name for it is "lncRNA (ENSDNVG00000007140.1)". Lineage: Eukaryota; Metazoa; Chordata; Aves; Casuariiformes; Dromaiidae. The record is from RNAcentral.
GGGGGCACUGGUGUGUGGGGGAGACUGGGGGCACUGGUGUGCGGGGAGAGGGAUACUGAGGUACUGGUGUGGGGGGGGGAGCACUGGCGGCACUGGUACGUGGAGGCGGCGGUACUAGGGACAGCGGUGUUAAAUCCGAAAAUCCGAAAACCUUUACAAGAGCUUCGCAAGAAGCCUCAGCGCCCGUGUGCUGGUUAUGUCCCGGCAAAGCAACUACCCAAAGAGAAACUAGACCUGUGGGUUGGCGUCUGUCGGCAGGGAGUUAAAUUUGGGCACUGCUUUGGGAAAUGCAACUUCUCUGCACUUCCCGUAUUGCCAAAAGGUCUUGAAAGAGGAGGCGUAGGUCAGCUUGCUUUCGUGUCCUAGCGCUCCYGCUCUUGCAGUCUUCCAAAUUUGCUUCCAAAUCUCCAAGGAGAGCUGCUCCCUCGGAGGACGGACUCGGCAGGAUUCAUUCCCUUCCCUGCCCCGCCACGUAUCUGCAAUUGCCGUUCGCGUUUUUCCUCUGCACACCCCCUUCGCGUCUGUGUUUGCGCUCCUUGGGUGCUCGUGAGCAAAGCUCCAGGUGACUGCACAUGUAAAACAGAAGUCUGUCUGCGCUUGUUUCRCACGUUGAGGAGAAAAGAGCUAGUUGAGAGGGCUGGGCCACMACUCGAGCUCUGUGUCGGAUGGCCACGUAGGGUCCCAAGGACCUGCAGAAGGUCUGAACUAAGAGUGGUGCAACCUCAUCCAACCUCACACAAGCUGACGUCAGCCCUGAAGCAUAUUAACAACUCUGAAGAUAGUAACAACUAUUGCGAAUGCUGCUUUUGUUUAACUAACAGAUGGCCAUUUACCUUAAAAGAGAAAAAGCUACUCAGUUUACAUGAUCUGGACAGUCUCGUGCGUGCAGUCGCACAUUUUGCAUGAAGAAACAGUGACAUUUUGGUUGCAGAGAGAGCUUGUGCCUUCUCAUUCGUCUCAUGCCUGGUAAGGAGUAAUAAUGUUUAGAAAGUACUACCUARAACACUAGGUACUGAAUAAUUCUGAGUAUUUUCAGAUAUUCAGGUUUAAAUUGAGAACAAUGGUGAGAAUCUAUUUCAAUAAUAGUUGAAAGUUUUGAAUAAAGGGAUUUGAAAAAAAAAUCA